This 442-nucleotide ribosomal RNA is filed under the name uncultured bacterium. RNAcentral's name for it is "partial 16S ribosomal RNA". It matches the Rfam family "Bacterial small subunit ribosomal RNA", at positions 338 to 795 of the family's 1533-position model. The record is from RNAcentral.
CCUACGGGAGGCAGCAGUGGGGGAUAUUGCACAAUGGGGGAAACCCUGAUGCAGCGACGCCACGUGGGCGAAGAAGUAUUUCGGUAUGUAAAGCCCUAUCAGCAGGGAAGAAGAAAUGACGGUACCGGAGUAAGAAGCACCGGCUAAAUACGUGCCAGCAGCCGCGGAAAUACGUAUGGUGCAAGCGUUAUCCAGAUUUACUGGGUGUCAAGGGAGCUCAGGUGGAACGGCAAGCAUGGUGUGAAAGCCCGCGGCCCAACGGCGGGACUGCAUUUGAAACUGCCGGGCUGGAGUGCCGGAGAGGUAGGAGGAAUUCCUAGUGUAGCGGUGAAAUGCGUAGAUAUUAGGAGGAACACCAGUGGCGAAGGCGGCCUACUGGACGGUGACUGACGCUGAGGCUCGAAAGCGUGGGUAGCAAACAGGAUUAGAUACCCCAGUAGUC